GAAAUGCGAUACGCAAUGCGAAUUGCAGAAUUCCGCGAGUCAUCAGAUCUUUGAACGCAACUGGCGCUAGAGGGAUAUCCUUCUAGCAUGCUUGUUUCAGUGUCUCGAAACCUCACAUAUCUUAAUGUGAUUGACCUUUAGUUCUUCCGAGAACAGGGGGGUCUCUCAUGAAAUAUGAUAGUGUGGAUCUUUCGGUCCAAUGAAGUAGUCACAUUUCACAAUGUGAUUUCAUUGGUAAUACUGAAUUAUCCGAAAACACUAUGAGAAACAAACAAUCUUCAAUAUGCAUCUGAAAUCAAGCAAGGUCACCUGCUGAACUUAA
This 322-nucleotide unclassified non-coding RNA is filed under the name uncultured fungus. Its description in RNAcentral is "sequence contains ITS1". The stretch from base 1 to 105 matches the Rfam family "5.8S ribosomal RNA", at positions 50 to 154 of the family's 154-position model. Lineage: Eukaryota; Fungi. The record is from RNAcentral.